Molecule: ribosomal RNA, 253 nt
Filed under: uncultured bacterium
Lineage: Bacteria
Description: partial 16S ribosomal RNA
Rfam family: Bacterial small subunit ribosomal RNA
Source: RNAcentral
GACGUAGGGCGCGAGCGUUGUCCGGAUUUAUUGGGCGUAAAGAGCUCGUAGGCGGCUUGUUGCGUCGACCGUGAAAACCCGGGGCUCAACUUCGGGCUUGCGGUCGAUACGGGCGGGCUAGAGUUCGGUAGGGGAGACUGGAAUUCCUGGUGUAGCGGUGAAAUGCGCAGAUAUCAGGAGGAACACCGGUGGCGAAGGCGGGUCUCUGGGCCGAUACUGACGCUGAGGAGCGAAAGCAUGGGGAGCGAACAGG